Molecule: ribosomal RNA, 1549 nt
Filed under: Enterobacter sichuanensis
Lineage: Bacteria; Pseudomonadati; Pseudomonadota; Gammaproteobacteria; Enterobacterales; Enterobacteriaceae
Description: bacterial SSU rRNA
Rfam family: Bacterial small subunit ribosomal RNA
Source: RNAcentral
AAAUUGAAGAGUUUGAUCAUGGCUCAGAUUGAACGCUGGCGGCAGGCCUAACACAUGCAAGUCGAACGGUAGCACAGAGAGCUUGCUCUCGGGUGACGAGUGGCGGACGGGUGAGUAAUGUCUGGGAAACUGCCUGAUGGAGGGGGAUAACUACUGGAAACGGUAGCUAAUACCGCAUAACGUCGCAAGACCAAAGAGGGGGACCUUCGGGCCUCUUGCCAUCAGAUGUGCCCAGAUGGGAUUAGCUAGUAGGUGGGGUAACGGCUCACCUAGGCGACGAUCCCUAGCUGGUCUGAGAGGAUGACCAGCCACACUGGAACUGAGACACGGUCCAGACUCCUACGGGAGGCAGCAGUGGGGAAUAUUGCACAAUGGGCGCAAGCCUGAUGCAGCCAUGCCGCGUGUAUGAAGAAGGCCUUCGGGUUGUAAAGUACUUUCAGCGGGGAGGAAGGCGUUGUGGUUAAUAACCACAGCGAUUGACGUUACCCGCAGAAGAAGCACCGGCUAACUCCGUGCCAGCAGCCGCGGUAAUACGGAGGGUGCAAGCGUUAAUCGGAAUUACUGGGCGUAAAGCGCACGCAGGCGGUCUGUCAAGUCGGAUGUGAAAUCCCCGGGCUCAACCUGGGAACUGCAUUCGAAACUGGCAGGCUAGAGUCUUGUAGAGGGGGGUAGAAUUCCAGGUGUAGCGGUGAAAUGCGUAGAGAUCUGGAGGAAUACCGGUGGCGAAGGCGGCCCCCUGGACAAAGACUGACGCUCAGGUGCGAAAGCGUGGGAGCAAACAGGAUUAGAUACCCUGGUAGUCCACGCCGUAAACGAUGUCGACUUGGAGGUUGUGCCCUUGAGGCGUGGCUUCCGGAGCUAACGCGUUAAGUCGACCGCCUGGGGAGUACGGCCGCAAGGUUAAAACUCAAAUGAAUUGACGGGGGCCCGCACAAGCGGUGGAGCAUGUGGUUUAAUUCGAUGCAACGCGAAGAACCUUACCUACUCUUGACAUCCAGAGAACUUUCCAGAGAUGGAUUGGUGCCUUCGGGAACUCUGAGACAGGUGCUGCAUGGCUGUCGUCAGCUCGUGUUGUGAAAUGUUGGGUUAAGUCCCGCAACGAGCGCAACCCUUAUCCUUUGUUGCCAGCGGUUAGGCCGGGAACUCAAAGGAGACUGCCAGUGAUAAACUGGAGGAAGGUGGGGAUGACGUCAAGUCAUCAUGGCCCUUACGAGUAGGGCUACACACGUGCUACAAUGGCGCAUACAAAGAGAAGCGACCUCGCGAGAGCAAGCGGACCUCAUAAAGUGCGUCGUAGUCCGGAUUGGAGUCUGCAACUCGACUCCAUGAAGUCGGAAUCGCUAGUAAUCGUAGAUCAGAAUGCUACGGUGAAUACGUUCCCGGGCCUUGUACACACCGCCCGUCACACCAUGGGAGUGGGUUGCAAAAGAAGUAGGUAGCUUAACCUUCGGGAGGGCGCUUACCACUUUGUGAUUCAUGACUGGGGUGAAGUCGUAACAAGGUAACCGUAGGGGAACCUGCGGUUGGAUCACCUCCUUACCUUAAAGAA